This 459-nucleotide ribosomal RNA is filed under the name uncultured bacterium. RNAcentral's name for it is "partial 16S ribosomal RNA". It matches the Rfam family "Bacterial small subunit ribosomal RNA", at positions 338 to 795 of the family's 1533-position model. The record is from RNAcentral.
CCUACGGGCGGCAGCAGUGAGGAAUAUUGGUCAAUGGCCGCGAGGCUGAACCAGCCAAGUCGCGUGAGGGAAGAAUGUCCUAUGGAUUGUAAACCUCUUUUGUCAGGGAGCAAAGUCACCCACGUGUGGGUGUUGGAGAGUACCUGAAGAAAAAGCAUCGGCUAACUCCGUGCCAGCAGCCGCGGUAAUACGGAGGAUGCGAGCGUUAUCCGGAUUUAUUGGGUUUAAAGGGUGCGUAGGCGGGUUAUCAAGGCAGCGGUAAAAUUUGGGAGCUCAACCCCAUCCAGCCGUUGAAACCGGUUGACUUGAGGGGACGAGAAGUAUGCGGAAUGCGUGGUGUAGCGGUGAAAUGCAUAGAUAUCACGCAGAACUCCGAUUGCGAAGGCAGCAUACCGGCGCCCGACUGACGCUGAAGCACGAAAGCGUGGGUAUCGAACAGGAUUAGAUACCCUAGUAGUC